Molecule: ribosomal RNA, 450 nt
Filed under: uncultured bacterium
Lineage: Bacteria
Description: partial 16S ribosomal RNA
Rfam family: Bacterial small subunit ribosomal RNA
Source: RNAcentral
GUACCAGACUCCUACGGGAGGCAGCAGUGGGGAAUAUUGCACAAUGGGGGGAACCCUGAUGCAGCGACGCCGCGUGGGUGAAGGAGCACCUCGGUGCGUAAAGCCCUAUCGGCAGGGAAGAAGAUGACGGUACCUGACCAAGAAGCCCCGGCUAACUACGUGCCAGCAGCCGCGGUAAUACGUAGGGGGCAAGCGUUAUCCGGAUUUACUGGGUGUAAAGGGGGCGCAGACGGCAGCGCAAGCCAGGAGUGGAAGCCCGGGGCCCAACCCCGGGACUGCUCUUGGAACUGCGCGGCUGGAGUGCAGGAGGGGCAGGCGGAAUUCCUGGUGUAGCGGUGAAAUGCGUAGAUAUCAGGAGGAACACCGGUGGCGAAGGCGGUCAACUGGACAGCAACUGACGCUGAGGCGCGAAAGCGUGGGGAGCAAACAGGAUUAGAUACCCUCGUAGAA